UCUAAAGAGAGACCUGACCAGCCACAUGU
Molecule: non-coding RNA, 29 nt
Filed under: Rattus norvegicus (Norway rat)
Lineage: Eukaryota; Metazoa; Chordata; Mammalia; Rodentia; Muridae
Source: RNAcentral